GUCAGUGUUCACUUAAAAGUCUAAUUUCUCUGCAAUUUUGUCAGUUUAUUUUGUUUUAAUGUAAAAAAUAAAAAAAAUGAGUACAGAUUUUUUCUUCAAGAUGCCUUUUGUUCUUUGCAUAUUGGAUACAUUUAUAGAAAUUAAAAUUAAAUUAUUCAUUUCAUACCACAUACAUUUACAGAAAUUAAAGGGGUCAUAUGAUGCUAUUUAAAAUUUUCCUUUCUCUUUGGAGUGUUACAAGCUCUUGGUGAAUAAAGAAGAUCUGUGAAGUUGCAAAGACUAAAGUCUCAAAUCCAAAGAGAUAUUCUUUAUCAAAGUUAACACUAGUCCACGCCCCCCUGAAACAGCUUGUUCUGACACGCCCCCACAUAUCUACGUCAGUAUGUGGGAAGAUUUGCAUAACGCCACCCAAAUGUUCACGCAAAGAAAGAAGGCGUACCUUUUAUUCUCAUUGUAGUAUUGUUGUUGCCACCGCCGCCAUGUCAUAUAGAUGCUGUGUUGUUUACCUUGAAAGCGAAACUACUUUGUUUGGCCUUCCGAAAGAGGACGAUAUCCGCGGCGUCCAGCCCGGGGUUGUCACAUGUGGUUGCUGCAAGACCAAGCUACGCUCCUUCGUAGAAUCAGCCUGCAGCACCGUUCUCAAGCCGCCCGCUUCUGCUCAUUCAAGCUGGCUGUGGCUCACUCUAGGCCUCCGGUCUCUGCUCACUCAAGGCCGCGGUGUGUGAUGCUGUUUCGUUGAGAAAGCGAAACUACUUUGUUUGGCCUUCCAAAAGAGAACACGACUAGAAAUCUUGCUUAUAUCACGUUUAUAAUGGGUUUUAUGGUUUUGUCUCGUCGCUCCGGCUGGACAAGGCAUCACAAUAUGUUAAGAGGUGUAACAUUUCUGUCACACGCUUGAGGCAUUUGGCCAAUAACAACACGCUGGAUAGCUGGCCAAUCACAGCACACCUCGCUUUUCAGAGAGAUGAGCCUUGUGAAAAUCUACGCAUUUCAGAAGGCGGGGCAUAGAGGAGAAACAAUAAUGUACAGUAUGUGGAAAAUAAUGUUUUUUUUUUUGUUUUACCUUAAUCCACAUAAACACAUUUCAUUACACCAAAUACACAAAAUAAUUUUCUUUUUAGCAGCAUCAUAUGACCCCUUUAAAACAUUAUACUGCUCUA
Molecule: long non-coding RNA, 1160 nt
Organism: Cyprinus carpio (common carp)
Lineage: Eukaryota; Metazoa; Chordata; Actinopteri; Cypriniformes; Cyprinidae
Source: Ensembl